This 786-nucleotide ribosomal RNA is filed under the name uncultured bacterium. Its description in RNAcentral is "bacterial SSU rRNA". It matches the Rfam family "Bacterial small subunit ribosomal RNA", at positions 21 to 804 of the family's 1533-position model. The record is from RNAcentral.
GGCUCAGGAUGAACGCUGGCGGCGUGCCUAACACAUGCAAGUCGAACGGAGUUACUUUGGUGAAGUUUUCGGAUGGAUCUGAUUUAACUUAGUGGCGGACGGGUGAGUAAUGCGUGAGCAACCUGCCCUUCAGAGGGGGACAACAGUUGGAAACGACUGCUAAUACCGCAUAAUGUAUCCGGGAGGCAUCUCCUGGAUACCAAAGGAGAAAUCCGCUGAUGGAUGGGCUCACGUCUGAUUAGCUAGUUGGUGAGGUAACGGCUCACCAAGGCUGCGAUCAGUAGCCGGACUGAGAGGUUGAACGGCCACAUUGGGACUGAGAUACGGCCCAGACUCCUACGGGAGGCAGCAGUGGGGAAUAUUGGGCAAUGGGCGAAAGCCUGACCCAGCAACGCCGCGUGAAGGAAGAAGGCCUUCGGGUUGUAAACUUCUUUUAAGAGGGACGAAGAAGUGACGGUACCUCUUGAAUAAGCCACGGCUAACUACGUGCCAGCAGCCGCGGUAAUACGUAGGUGGCGAGCGUUAUCCGGAUUUACUGGGUGUAAAGGGCGCGUAGGCGGGAAUGCAAGUCAGAUGUGAAAUCCAAGGGCUCAACCCUUGAACUGCAUUUGAAACUGUAUUUCUUGAGUGUCGGAGAGGUUGACGGAAUUCCUAGUGUAGCGGUGAAAUGCGUAGAUAUUAGGAGGAACACCAGUGGCGAAGGCGGUCAACUGGACGAUAACUGACGCUGAGGCGCGAAAGCGUGGGGAGCAAACAGGAUUAGAUACCCUGGUAGUCCACGCCGUA